Molecule: long non-coding RNA, 1273 nt
Organism: Lingula anatina
Lineage: Eukaryota; Metazoa; Brachiopoda; Lingulata; Lingulida; Lingulidae
Source: RefSeq, a predicted model, not a curated record
AUAGGACCAUGGUCAGUAGAAGAUGGAGAAGAAAGAAGCCUCAUGUCAGGUUGCGACAAUUUACACGUGUAGGCCAAGAAUGUGGUACUGAAAACACCAGCUAUUUGCCAAUAUGAUUUUGACGUCACGUAAGGCACACUCGAAUCCAGCCUCUUUUUAUGGUACUAGCCGCCCUUGAGCUUCGGACACGCCAACAAAUUAACUCUUUUAAUUAAAAUAAGCGCACCGAGAUGGUCACAACAUGCGCCUGCCCACCACCCAGCAUUCAGGAAACCGACGCCCACUCAUGCCUGUGUUAUAUUAAAACUGAAUAAAAAAAAUGUUCCGUGUUUUUUAUUUGAUAAUGAUUAGGGGGAAGGAAAAUGAUAUAAAUAUAACUGUUUUAACACUUUCAAAUUUGCUUAAUAUGAUCUAUUCAUGUUGCCGUUGGGGUAAACGGCUUUCCAAGGUACCAGGUUUUUAAAACACAAAAAGCUUUCAAAACGCGCCAUGUACUUAGCCAAAUACUUUUUGAGCAUUUAAAAAUUCUAAACCCACUGAAAGAAUUAACCUACAAAAUUUUCCACCAAUAUUCAUCAAUUGUAUUUAAAGCUAGCGUUAUAGAUUUUUUUUUUCUAAAUUUAUUCCAUAGUAUGAUAGGUUUUUUGCAUCUUUUGAAACAAAUGCGACCGUCCACCCCUAUAAAAAUGUUUUACAUUUAAUAAAAUUCAGAUGAACAUUUAAUUAUAUGAAGAUUUAAAUUAAAGAUUUGAAAAUCGAAAACUUGGAAAGAUUCUGACAACUUGACAACUGAAAUUUGGACAGCAAGUAUAUUGUGAUAUUAUAAGGGUGAAUGAACGUUUUUCCAAUUCUUAUUUUGUGAAAAAAAAUGGCAUGGUUAAAAAAUACCGAGUGUUCUCACUAUCAGAUAAGUUUUAAAUUCCACUAAAAUGUUCAGGAAAUAAUGUUACGAGUUUGAAUUUAUCGUGGAGUAGGCAAAUUUCAGACCAAUUAUUUAAUGUGAGUCUAUCUCCCAAGAGUUGAUAUCUCCUAACCCUACAACUAGUUCAAAUCAAUCAAUCUAUCAUCUUUUGUAUGGUGUGUAAGUUUUAAGUAAUAUAUUCAGUCAGAUUUUCAUUUUUGCGGUUUGUUUACAAUUUACAGCUUCUGCUUCCAUUUUUAUUAAGGGCUUUGCUUUCACAUUCUUUUCUGUUAAAAAAUUGUAAAUUUAAUGAUAACUUCCACAAUGGAUUAUGUACGUUUUAAAUAUUUGAAAAUAAAAUGGUUAAUCACC